GUCUACGGCCAUGCCACCCCGAACGUGCCCAAUCUCGUCUGAUCUCGGAAGUUAAACAGGGUCAGGCCUGGUUAGUACUUGGAUGGAAGACCACGUAGGAAUACCAGGUGCUGUAAGCA
This 119-nucleotide ribosomal RNA is filed under the name Pteropus alecto (black flying fox). RNAcentral also lists the same sequence under 1 other name. The record is from RNAcentral. Lineage: Eukaryota; Metazoa; Chordata; Mammalia; Chiroptera; Pteropodidae.